Long non-coding RNA from Oncorhynchus tshawytscha (Chinook salmon), 539 nucleotides. NCBI's taxonomy places the organism in Eukaryota, Metazoa, Chordata, Actinopteri, Salmoniformes, Salmonidae. The record is from Ensembl.
CUUACUUUCACCCCUGGUGUAAACAUGACAUUUAUGAUAUGGGACAUAAAGUGUGACACAUGGAGCAAAUAACCAUAAGCACACAGACUAUCUACUGAAUAAAAUGGUGCUUGGUGUUGUGGUGUUAAUCAGAUAAUUGAAUUAUUUAAUGCUUUCUUAUUGUUUCAUAAAAAUAAUCUACCAAUGCUAUUAGACCCAUGAUUCAGCCUUUUCCACAACGCGUUAAUGAUACAUAAUAGAAUGUCACUUUGAACUUUAUUAAUAUAAUGUAAUUUAUUGGAAACAGGAGACAAAGGGCUGUGAGACAAAGGCUUAAGGGGCGGCAGGUAAACAAAGGGGCGGCAGGUAGCUGCAGGUAAACAAAGGGGCGUCAGGUAGCGGCAGGUAAACAAAGGGGCGGAAGGUAGCGGCAGGUAAACAAAGUGGCGGCAGGUAGCUGCAGGUAAACAAAGGGGCGGCAGGUAGCUGCAGCUAAACAAAGGGGCGGCAGGUAGCGGCAGGUAAACAAAGGGGCGGCAGGUAGCUGCAGGUAAACAAAG